RNAcentral lists this ribosomal RNA (3022 nucleotides) under Eubacterium sp. AM18-10LB-B. RNAcentral describes it as "23S ribosomal RNA". It matches the Rfam family "Bacterial large subunit ribosomal RNA". The record is from RNAcentral. Lineage: Bacteria; Bacillati; Bacillota; Clostridia; Eubacteriales; Eubacteriaceae.
UGAUUAAGUAAGAAAGGGCGUACGGUGGAUGCCUAGGCACUUGAAACUGAAGAAGGACGCAACAAACGGCGAAACGCGGCGGGGAGCUGUACGUAAGCAAAGAUCCGCCGGUAUCCGAAUGGGGGAACCCGGCAUGCGUAAUAGCAUGUCAUCCGCAGAUGAACAAAUAGUCUGCGAGAGAGGUACCCGGGGAACUGAAACAUCUAAGUACCCGGAGGAAAAGAAAACAACAGUGAUUCCCUGAGUAGCGGCGAGCGAAAGGGGAGGAGCCCAAACCAGACCGAGGUCUGGGGUUGAAGGACCGCGAUACGGCAAGAAUCAUGGUAGGAGAACGGCAUUGAAAGGCCGACCGGAGAGGGUGCAAGUCCCGUAUCCGAAACCGUGAGGAAGCCCAGCGGGAUCCUGAGUACGGCGAGACACGAGAAAUCUUGUCGGAAGCAGGCGGGACCAUCCGUCAAGGCUAAAUAUAAGCAAGUGACCGAUAGUGAACCAGUACCGUGAGGGAAAGGUGAAAAGAACCGCGGGAGCGGAGUGAAACAGAACCUGAAACCGUAUGCUUACAAGAAGUCAGAGCACGUUAAGGUGUGAUGGCGUGCCUUUUGUAGAAUGAACCGGCGAGUUAUGUUAUCGUGCGAGGUUAAGCAGGAGAUGCGGAGCCGAAGCGAAAGCGAGUCUUAAGAGGGCGGCAGUACGAUGACAUAGACCCGAAACCGUGUGAUCUAGCCAUGACCAGGUUGAAGUUCAGGUGAAACUGAAUGGAGGACCGAACCGACCCCCGUUGAAAAGUUGGCGGAUGAGUUGUGGCUAGGGGAGAAAUUCCAAUCGAACACGGAUAUAGCUGGUUCUCCCCGAAAUAGCUUUAGGGCUAGCGUCGAGGAUGAGUCUUGUGGAGGUAGAGCACUGAAUGUACGAUGGCCCCAUCCCGGGGUACUGAGUAUAAUCAAACUCCGAAUGCCAUGAGAUAUUCCCGGCAGUCAGACCGUGGGUGAUAAGGUCCAUGGUCAAAAGGGAAACAGCCCAGACCGCCAGUUAAGGUCCCAAAAUGUAUGCUAAGUGGAAAAGGAUGUGGGGAUGCACAGACAACUAGGAGGUUGGCUCAGAAGCAGCCAUCCUUCAAAGAGUGCGUAACAGCUCACUAGUCGAGUGACCCUGCGCCGAAAAUGUACCGGGGCUAAGCAUACUACCGAAGCUGCGGAUUUGUAGUAAUACAAGUGGUAGGGGAGCGUUCCAUGCACGUGGAAGCCAUACCGAAAGGAGUGGUGGAGAGCAUGGAAGUGAGAAUGCCGGUGUGAGUAGCGAGAUGCAGGUGAGAAUCCUGCACACCGAUAGCCCAAGGAUUCCAGGGGAAGGUUCGUCCGCCCUGGGUAAGUCGGGACCUAAGGCGAGGCCGAAAGGCGUAGUCGAUGGAAAACAGGCAGAUAUUCCUGUACCCGCGAUGGAAAUGAAGGAAUGACGGAGAAGGCUAGCAUGAGCCACUUAUUGGAUUGUGGUCGAAGCGAAUAGCAGGUGCAUAGUAAAAUGCGUGCACGGGAUGUAAAACGUGACAGGUAAGCGAAACCCUANNNNNNNNNNNNNNNNNNNNNNNNNNNNNNNNNNNNNNNNNNNNNNNNNNNNNNNNNNNNNNNNNNNNNNNNNNNNNNNAAUGCGUGCACGGAAUGUAAAACGUGAUAGGUAAGCGAAACCUUUGGGGAGUAGCGAAGCAUGCGAGGCCAGCUUCCAGGAAAAGUUUCUAGUGCUGAUUCCAUAGCGGCCCGUACCAAAACCGACACAGGUGGGCAAGGAGAGUAUCCUGAGGUGAGCGAGAGAACUGUUGCCAAGGAACUCGGCAAAAUGACUCCGUAAGUUAGCGAGAAGGAGUGCUUAUGAAAGUAAGCCGCAGUGAAGAGGCCCAAGCGACUGUUUAACUAAAACACAGCUCUCUGCGAAGUCGCAAGACGAAGUAUAGGGGGUGACGCCUGCCCGGUGCUGGAAGGUUAAGAGGAUUUGUCAGUUUCGACGAAGCAAUGAAUUGAAGCCCCAGUGAACGGCGGCCGUAACUAUAACGGUCCUAAGGUAGCGAAAUUCCUUGUCAGGUAAGUUCUGACCCGCACGAAAGGCGUAACGAUUUGGGCGCUGUCUCGGCAGCAGACUCGGUGAAAUCUUAGUACCUGUGAAAAUGCAGGUUACCCGCAACUAGACGGAAAGACCCCAUGGAGCUUUACUGCAGCCUGAUAUUGGAUUUUGAUCAGAGAUGUACAGGAUAGGUGGGAGACGAAGAAGGAUGCACGCCAGUGUAUCUGGAGUCGACGUUGGGAUACCACUCUUGUCUGAUUGGAGUUCUAACCUGCGUCCAUGAAGCUGGACGGGGGACCGUGUCAGGCAGGCAGUUUGACUGGGGCGGUCGCCUCCCAAAGAGUAACGGAGGCGCCCAAAGGUACGCUCAGAUUGGACGGAAAUCAAUCGGCGAGUGCAAAUGCAGAAGCGUGCUUGACUGUGAGACAAACAGGUCGAACAGGGACGAAAGUCGGGAUUAGUGAUCCGGCGGUGCCGAAUGGAAGGGCCGUCGCUCAACGGAUAAAAGCUACCCUGGGGAUAACAGGCUGAUCUCGCCCAAGAGUUCACAUCGACGGCGAGGUUUGGCACCUCGAUGUCGGCUCAUCGCAUCCUGGAGCUGAAUUCGGUUCCAAGGGUUGGGCUGUCCGCCCAUUAAAGCGGUACGCGAGCUGGGUUCAGAACGUCGUGAGACAGUUCGGUCCCUAUCUGUUGUGGGCGUAGGAGAUUUGAGGAGAGCUGUCCUUAGUACGAGAGGACCGGGAUGGACCUACCGCUGGUGCACCGGUUGUUGUGCCAACAGCAUAGCCGGGUAGCUAAGUAGGGAAGGGAUAAGCGCUGAAAGCAUCUAAGCGCGAAGCCUACUCCAAGAUGAGAUCUCCCAUACGCAAGUAGUAAGACCCCUUGAAGACGACGAGGUAGAUAGGUCAGGGAUGGAAGCGCAGCGAUGCGUGGAGUUGACUGAUACUAAUAGGUCGAGGACUUAAUCAAA